This 75-nucleotide transfer RNA is filed under the name Kastovskya adunca ATA6-11-RM4. RNAcentral describes it as "tRNA-Asn". It matches the Rfam family "tRNA". Rfam says of the family: Transfer RNA (tRNA) molecules are approximately 80 nucleotides in length. Their secondary structure includes four short double-helical elements and three loops (D, anti-codon, and T loops). The record is from RNAcentral. RNAcentral also lists the same sequence under 1 other name. Lineage: Bacteria; Bacillati; Cyanobacteriota; Cyanophyceae; Coleofasciculales; Coleofasciculaceae.
UGCCUUGUAGCUCAGGGGUAGAGCGAUCGCCUGUUAAGCGAAUGGUCGUAGGUUCAAUCCCUACCAAGGCAGCCA